Molecule: ribosomal RNA, 311 nt
Filed under: Proteus mirabilis
Lineage: Bacteria; Pseudomonadati; Pseudomonadota; Gammaproteobacteria; Enterobacterales; Morganellaceae
Description: partial 23S ribosomal RNA
Rfam family: Bacterial large subunit ribosomal RNA
Source: RNAcentral
GGAAAGUCCGGCAGUAAAGGGUGAUAGCCCCGUAUCUGAAGAUGCUGUUAUUGUGAACUCGACGAGUAGGGCGGGACACGUGUUAUCCUGUCUGAAUAUGGGGGGACCAUCCUCCAAGGCUAAAUACUCCUGAUUGACCGAUAGUGAACCAGUACCGUGAGGGAAAGGCGAAAAGAACCCCGGCGAGGGGAGUGAAAAAGAACCUGAAACCGUGUACGUACAAGCAGUAGGAGCCCCAUCACUCAAGUGCCUCGCACUGAGUGAUGCAAGAACAUCACCGAAAUAGCGCCGAAUUUGCUAACAAGGUUGGU